AAGAAAGUGGCAGAGUGGUUAUGUGGCUGGCUUGAAACCAGUUUAUGGGGGUUCAAUUCCUUCCUUUCUCG
RNAcentral lists this transfer RNA (71 nucleotides) under Acheilognathus majusculus. RNAcentral describes it as "tRNA-Ser". It matches the Rfam family "tRNA". From Rfam's summary of the family: Transfer RNA (tRNA) molecules are approximately 80 nucleotides in length. Their secondary structure includes four short double-helical elements and three loops (D, anti-codon, and T loops). The record is from RNAcentral. RNAcentral also lists the same sequence under 1 other name. Lineage: Eukaryota; Metazoa; Chordata; Actinopteri; Cypriniformes; Acheilognathidae.